CCUUUGUACACACCGCCCGUCGCUACUACCGAUUGAAUGGCUUAGUGAGGUCUCCGGAUCGGCUUUGGGCAACCGGAAACGGUAGCCUAUUGCUGAGAAGCUGAUCAAACUUGGUCAUUUAGAGG
This 125-nucleotide ribosomal RNA is filed under the name Agaricales sp. RNAcentral's name for it is "partial small subunit ribosomal RNA". It matches the Rfam family "Eukaryotic small subunit ribosomal RNA", at positions 1657 to 1779 of the family's 1831-position model. The record is from RNAcentral. Lineage: Eukaryota; Fungi; Basidiomycota; Agaricomycetes; Agaricales.